UCGAAGGUAGGCAUAAUCAGUAGUUUUUUAAUUGAAGGCUUGUAUGAAUGGUUGGACGAAAUAUUAACUGUUUCAUUAUAAUUUAUAAUAAAAUUUUAUUUUUUAGUUAAAAAGCUAAAAUUUUUUUAAAAGACGAGAAGACCCUAUAAAUCUUUAUAUUUAUUUAAUUAUAAUUUUAUAGAUUUAUUUAAUUAUAAUUAUUUUUGAGUAUUUUAUUGGGGUGAUAUUAAAAUUUAAUAAACUUUUAAUUAUUAAAAUCAUUUAUUUAUGAAUAAUUGAUCCAUUAUUAGUGAUUAAAAAAUUAAGUUACUUUAGGGAUAACAGCGUAAU
This 330-nucleotide ribosomal RNA is filed under the name Phyto sp. n. 2 AT-2015. RNAcentral's name for it is "partial 16S ribosomal RNA". The record is from RNAcentral. Lineage: Eukaryota; Metazoa; Arthropoda; Insecta; Diptera; Rhinophoridae.